Molecule: ribosomal RNA, 468 nt
Filed under: uncultured bacterium
Lineage: Bacteria
Description: partial 16S ribosomal RNA
Rfam family: Bacterial small subunit ribosomal RNA
Source: RNAcentral
GACGAACGCUGGCGGCGUGCUUAACACAUGCAAGUCGAACGGAAAGGCCCUGCUUUUGUUGGGUGCUCGAGUUGCGAACGGGUGUGUAACACGUGUGUAACCUUCCCUUGUCUUUGUGAUAUCUUCAGGAAACUUGGGCUAUUACCGGAUAGGAUCUCCUGCUGCUUGGUGGGCUUUGGACAUUUUCGGCUGUUGGGUAUGGACUCGCGGCUUAUCAGCUUGUUGGUGGGGUUGUGGCUUACCAAGGUUUUGACGGGUAGCCGGCCUGAGAGGGUGACCGGCCACAUUGGGACUGAGAUACGGCCCAGACUCCAACGGGAGGCAGAAGUGGGGAAUAUUGCACAAUGGGCGGAAGCCUGAUGCAGCAACGCCGCGUGCGGGAUGACGGCCUUCGGGUUGUAAACCGCUUUCGCCUGUGACGAAGCGUGAGUGACGGUAAUGGGUAAAGAAGCACCGGCUAACUACGUG